Molecule: ribosomal RNA, 400 nt
Filed under: uncultured bacterium
Lineage: Bacteria
Description: bacterial SSU rRNA
Rfam family: Bacterial small subunit ribosomal RNA
Source: RNAcentral
UGAGGAAUAUUGGUCAAUGGGCGCAAGCCUGAACCAGCCAUGCCGCGUGCAGGAUGACGGUCCUAUGGAUUGUAAACUGCUUUUGUACAGGAAGAAACACUCCCUCGUGAGGGAGCUUGACGGUACUGUAAGAAUAAGGAUCGGCUAACUCCGUGCCAGCAGCCGCGGUAAUACGGAGGAUCCAAGCGUUAUCCGGAAUCAUUGGGUUUAAAGGGUCCGUAGGCGGUUUUAUAAGUCAGUGGUGAAAUCUGGUCGCUCAACGAUCAAACGGCCAUUGAUACUGUAGAACUUGAAUUACUUGGAAGUAACUAGAAUAUGUAGUGUAGCGGUGAAAUGCUUAGAGAUUACAUGGAAUACCAAUUGCGAAGGCAGGUUACUACAAGUGGAUUGACGCUGAUGG